CAAUAGCGUAUAUUUAAGUUGUUGCAGUUAAAAAGCUCGUAGUUGGAUUUCGGGUAGGAUUUGCCGGUCCGUCUUUGAGAUGUGUACUGGUAAGUACUAUCUUCUUGUCGGGGACCAGCUCCUGGGCUUCACUGUCCGGGACUGGGAGCCGACGAAGUUACUUUGAGUAAAUUAGAGUGUUCAAAGCAAGCCUACGCUCUGAAUAUAUUAGCAUGGAAUAACACGAUAGGACUCUGGCUUAUCUUGUUGGUCUGUGAGACCAGAGUAAUGAUUAAGAGGGACAGUCGGGGACAUUCGUAUUUCAUUGUCAGAGGUGAAAUUCUUGGAUUUAUGAAAGACGAACUACUGCGAAAGCAUUUGCCAAGGAUGUUUUCAUUAA
Molecule: ribosomal RNA, 379 nt
Filed under: uncultured eukaryote
Lineage: Eukaryota
Description: partial 18S ribosomal RNA
Rfam family: Eukaryotic small subunit ribosomal RNA
Source: RNAcentral